GGGUUGUGAGGUUAAGCGACUAAGCGUACACGGUGGAUGCCCUGGCAGUCAGAGGCGAUGAAGGACGUGCUAAUCUGCGAUAAGCGUCGGUAAGGUGAUAUGAACCGUUAUAACCGGCGAUUUCCGAAUGGGGAAACCCAGUGUGUUUCGACACACUAUCAUUAACUGAAUCCAUAGGUUAAUGAGGCGAACCGGGGGAACUGAAACAUCUAAGUACCCGAGGAAAAGAAAUCAACCGAGAUUCCCCAGUAGCGGCGAGCGAACGGGGAGCAGCCCAGAGCCUGAAUCAGUGUGUGUGUUAGUGGAAGCGUCUGGAAAGGCGCGCGAUACAGGGUGACAGCCCCGUACACAAAAAUGCACAUGCUGUGAGCUCGAUGAGUAGGGCGGGACACGUGGUAUCCUGUCUGAAUAUGGGGGGACCAUCCUCCAAGGCUAAAUACUCCUGACUGACCGAUAGUGAACCAGUACCGUGAGGGAAAGGCGAAAAGAACCCCGGCGAGGGGAGUGAAAAAGAACCUGAAACCGUGUACGUACAAGCAGUGGGAGCCUCUUUUAUGGGGUGACUGCGUACCUUUUGUAUAAUGGGUCAGCGACUUAUAUUCUGUAGCAAGGUUAACCGAAUAGGGGAGCCGAAGGGAAACCGAGUCUUAACUGGGCGUUAAGUUGCAGGGUAUAGACCCGAAACCCGGUGAUCUAGCCAUGGGCAGGUUGAAGGUUGGGUAACACUAACUGGAGGACCGAACCGACUAAUGUUGAAAAAUUAGCGGAUGACUUGUGGCUGGGGGUGAAAGGCCAAUCAAACCGGGAGAUAGCUGGUUCUCCCCGAAAGCUAUUUAGGUAGCGCCUCGUGAAUUCAUCUCCGGGGGUAGAGCACUGUUUCGGCAAGGGGGUCAUCCCGACUUACCAACCCGAUGCAAACUGCGAAUACCGGAGAAUGUUAUCACGGGAGACACACGGCGGGUGCUAACGUCCGUCGUGAAGAGGGAAACAACCCAGACCGCCAGCUAAGGUCCCAAAGUCAUGGUUAAGUGGGAAACGAUGUGGGAAGGCCCAGACAGCCAGGAUGUUGGCUUAGAAGCAGCCAUCAUUUAAAGAAAGCGUAAUAGCUCACUGGUCGAGUCGGCCUGCGCGGAAGAUGUAACGGGGCUAAACCAUGCACCGAAGCUGCGGCAGCGACGCUUAUGCGUUGUUGGGUAGGGGAGCGUUCUGUAAGCCUGUGAAGGUGUGCUGUGAGGCAUGCUGGAGGUAUCAGAAGUGCGAAUGCUGACAUAAGUAACGAUAAAGCGGGUGAAAAGCCCGCUCGCCGGAAGACCAAGGGUUCCUGUCCAACGUUAAUCGGGGCAGGGUGAGUCGACCCCUAAGGCGAGGCCGAAAGGCGUAGUCGAUGGGAAACAGGUUAAUAUUCCUGUACUUGGUGUUACUGCGAAGGGGGACGGAGAAGGCUAUGUUGGCCGGGCGACGGUUGUCCCGGUUUAAGCGUGUAGGCUGGUUUUCCAGGCAAAUCCGGAAAAUCAAGGCUGAGGCGUGAUGACGAGGCACUACGGUGCUGAAGCAACAAAUGCCCUGCUUCCAGGAAAAGCCUCUAAGCAUCAGGUAACAUCAAAUCGUACCCCAAACCGACACAGGUGGUCAGGUAGAGAAUACCAAGGCGCUUGAGAGAACUCGGGUGAAGGAACUAGGCAAAAUGGUGCCGUAACUUCGGGAGAAGGCACGCUGAUAUGUAGGUGAAGCGACUUGCUCGUGGAGCUGAAAUCAGUCGAAGAUACCAGCUGGCUGCAACUGUUUAUUAAAAACACAGCACUGUGCAAACACGAAAGUGGACGUAUACGGUGUGACGCCUGCCCGGUGCCGGAAGGUUAAUUGAUGGGGUCAGCGCAAGCGAAGCUCUUGAUCGAAGCCCCGGUAAACGGCGGCCGUAACUAUAACGGUCCUAAGGUAGCGAAAUUCCUUGUCGGGUAAGUUCCGACCUGCACGAAUGGCGUAAUGAUGGCCAGGCUGUCUCCACCCGAGACUCAGUGAAAUUGAACUCGCUGUGAAGAUGCAGUGUACCCGCGGCAAGACGGAAAGACCCCGUGAACCUUUACUAUAGCUUGACACUGAACAUUGAGCCUUGAUGUGUAGGAUAGGUGGGAGGCUUUGAAGUGUGGACGCCAGUCUGCAUGGAGCCGACCUUGAAAUACCACCCUUUAAUGUUUGAUGUUCUAACGUUGACCCGUAAUCCGGGUUGCGGACAGUGUCUGGUGGGUAGUUUGACUGGGGCGGUCUCCUCCUAAAGAGUAACGGAGGAGCACGAAGGUUGGCUAAUCCUGGUCGGACAUCAGGAGGUUAGUGCAAUGGCAUAAGCCAGCUUGACUGCGAGCGUGACGGCGCGAGCAGGUGCGAAAGCAGGUCAUAGUGAUCCGGUGGUUCUGAAUGGAAGGGCCAUCGCUCAACGGAUAAAAGGUACUCCGGGGAUAACAGGCUGAUACCGCCCAAGAGUUCAUAUCGACGGCGGUGUUUGGCACCUCGAUGUCGGCUCAUCACAUCCUGGGGCUGAAGUAGGUCCCAAGGGUAUGGCUGUUCGCCAUUUAAAGUGGUACGCGAGCUGGGUUUAGAACGUCGUGAGACAGUUCGGUCCCUAUCUGCCGUGGGCGCUGGAGAACUGAGGGGGGCUGCUCCUAGUACGAGAGGACCGGAGUGGACGCAUCACUGGUGUUCGGGUUGUCAUGCCAAUGGCACUGCCCGGUAGCUAAAUGCGGAAGAGAUAAGUGCUGAAAGCAUCUAAGCACGAAACUUGCCCCGAGAUGAGUUCUCCCUGACUCCUUGAGAGUCCUGAAGGAACGUUGAAGACGACGACGUUGAUAGGCCGGGUGUGUAAGCGCAGCGAUGCGUUGAGCUAACCGGUACUAAUGAACCGUGAGGCUUAACCUUACAACGCCGAAGGUGUUU
This 2928-nucleotide ribosomal RNA is filed under the name Escherichia coli. RNAcentral describes it as "23S ribosomal RNA". It matches the Rfam family "Bacterial large subunit ribosomal RNA". Lineage: Bacteria; Pseudomonadati; Pseudomonadota; Gammaproteobacteria; Enterobacterales; Enterobacteriaceae. The record is from RNAcentral.